This 2157-nucleotide long non-coding RNA is filed under the name Anas platyrhynchos (mallard). RNAcentral's name for it is "lncRNA (ENSAPLG00020007308.1)". The record is from RNAcentral. Lineage: Eukaryota; Metazoa; Chordata; Aves; Anseriformes; Anatidae.
AUGGUGGCAGCGGUGGGCGCGGGGUCCUGGGGGGGGGUGGCAUCCACGGGGGUGGGCUUGGGGGAGGUGGUCCCGGCCAUGGCCAUGGGGUUGGGCCAGGAGGUCCCGGCCAUGGGCUUGGUCAAGGUGGUCCCCUCGGUUGGGACGUGCCCCCAUGCCAUGGUCCCAUCUGUGGGCAUCGACUUGGUCGAGAUGGUCCCAUGGGUUGGGUCGUGCUCCCACGAGAUGGUGCCACCCGUGGGUAUGGCCUCGGUUGAGAUGUUCCCAUCGGUGGGCGUUGACUUGGUCAACGUGGUGCCAUCCAUUGGGACGUGCCCCCAUGAGCUGGUGUCAUCCUUGGGCAUUGACUUGGUCAACGUGGUGCCAUCCAUGGGCAUUGACUUGGUCGAGAUGUUUCCAUCUGCUGGAACACGCUCCCAUGACAUGGUGCCAUCCGUGGGCAUGGAUUUGGUUGAGAUGCUCCCAUCUGUAGGCGUUGACUCGGUCAACGUGGUGCCACCCAUGAGCAUUGACUUGGUCGAGAUGCUCCCAUCCAUUGGAACACGCUCCCAUGACAUGGUGCCAUCCAUGGGCGUGGACUUGGUUGAGAUCCCAUCCGUGGGUGUUGACUUGGUCAAGGUGGUCCCAUCUGCUGGGAUGUGCCCCCAUGAGCUGGUGUCAUCCUUGGGAACAGACGUGGUCAACAUGGUGCCACCCAUGGGUAUGGACUUGGUCGAGAUGCUCCCAUCUGUUGGAACACGCUCCCAUGACAUGGUGCCAUCCGUGGGCAUGGAUUUGGUUGAGAUGCUCCCAUCCAUGGGCAUGGACUUGGUCAAGGUGGUGCCAUCUGUUGGGACGUGUCCCCAUGAGCUGGCGUCCUCCUUGGGCACAGCCUUGGUCCCCGCGGUGCCACCCGCUGGAGGAGGCUCCCACGCCAUGGUCGAGGUGUCCCCACCUGGGCCAUGCUCCCACACGUUGGGGUCACCCACGGGGGAGGCCCUGCUCCACAUGGUCCCAUCUGGGGGCGCGGGCUCGGCCCAGGCGCUUCCAUCUGCUGGGACACGCGCCCAGGACGUGGUCCCGUGGGUGGGCACGGAUUUGGGCGCGGUGGUCCCGAAGGUGGGCACGUGCUCAUGCAAGAUGCUCCUGCCCACGGCCCCGCACCCACGGGGCUCCUGCCAGAAUCCUGCACCCAGCGCCAUGUCCUUGUAGGAGAAGCAGCCACCCAUGGGUGACGCGGUCCCAGCGGGCGGUGGGUGCUCACAGGAGAUGCCCCCACCCAUGGGCACGGAGUGGGGCGAGACGGUCCCGUGGGUGGGCUCGUGGGGGGUGCUCCUGGACGUGGGGGUGGGCUCGGGGGUGGUGGUCCCAUGGGUGGCCACGGGCUCGUGUGGGGUGGUCCCGUACAUGAAGAUGGGCUCGGAGGAGGUGGUUCCAUGGGUGCCCCCAUGCUCAUAUGAAGUGCUCCCAUAGGUGAAGAUGGACUCGGAGGAGGUGGUCCCAUGGGUGGCCAAGGUGGUCCCAUGGGUGGCCAAGGUGGUCCCAUGGGUGGCCAGGUGCUCCUGAGAAGUGCUCCCAUAGGUGAAGAUGGAUUCGGAGGAGGCGGUCCCAUAGGUGGCCAAGGUGGUCCCGUGGGUGGUCAAGGUGGUCCCAUAGGUGGCCAAGGUGGUCCCAUGGGUGGCCACGUGCUCCUGAGAAGUGCUCCCAUAGGUGAAGAUGGACUCAGAGGAGGUGGUCCCGUGGGUGGCCGUGGUGGUCCCACGGGUGCCCACGUGCUCGUGUGAGGUGCCCCCACCCACACCCACGGGUGCGAAGCUCUCCCAGCCCGGCUGCUCCAUCAGGGUGCUCGGGGGCUCGGAGCACCCAUGGGUGCCCACGCGGCUCCCUGGGGAACCCCCAUAUACGGGGACGGGCUCAGAGGAGGAGGUCCCAUGGGUGGGGACGCGCUGCUGAGAGCCCCCCUGGUGGCCGGGGUCGGACCCGUGGGUGCCACCACCACCACCACCGGUGCCACCACCACCAUGGGUGCCACCACCAUGGGUGCCACCACCGUGGGUGCCACGGUGUCCCCAUCGAUGGCCCCCUGCAGGUCCCAGACGCAGAGCUGGGCCUGCACCAGGCUGGCCCAGAAGACGUCGGCGGGGGCGGGCAGGGGGGGCCCAGGGGUGCCGGGGGCCG